This is a long non-coding RNA of Alosa alosa (allis shad), 500 nucleotides long. RefSeq lists it as uncharacterized. The transcript is spliced from 3 exons. NCBI's taxonomy places the organism in Eukaryota, Metazoa, Chordata, Actinopteri, Clupeiformes, Clupeidae. The record is from RefSeq and is a predicted model, not a curated record.
UCAAGGUGGUGGGGGCCCCCAAACCAAUAUACAAUACAAGGUCAGGCUGUUUUUGUCAGCAGGGAAGUGUUAGGCCCAUAUAGGAGACAAAGUCAACAAAGCCAACAAAGUCAACAAAGCUACCAGAUUCAACUAUAAAAUAGCAAGGUGACCAGUAAAACUACAGCAGGCAACUAGGCUAGGAGGAGGGAUGUCUGUUUCUGUCCAGUGAAAGAUUUUGAAACUGACAGGGACAGCUUGUUCCCUGUUCAACACCUCUUGUCCAAUGUCCAAGUCCCACAGCUGAUAACACGACUGAACGUUCAGGAUCUUCCAGACCACGCCUGAGAAGUAACAGAAAUUAUGGCACAGGAUCCUGUAGCCUGCAUCGAACAUCAAAGAUAAAUGACGAAUUCAGACGGAUCUCUACAUUUAUUCAUUGCACAACUGGACCAGUUGCCAUUGCUUUAAAAAAUAAAUAAUGCUUUCAGAAAAUUUAAAUUGCUGUGUGCUUUUAUUCA